Molecule: ribosomal RNA, 274 nt
Filed under: uncultured bacterium
Lineage: Bacteria
Description: partial 16S ribosomal RNA
Rfam family: Bacterial small subunit ribosomal RNA
Source: RNAcentral
ACACGUAAGGGGCAAGCGUUGUUCGGAUUUAUUGGGCGUAAAGGGCGCGUAGGCGGCAGCACAAGUCUGGUGUGAAAUACUCCGGCUCAACCGGAGGCACGCGCUGGAAACUGUGUUGCUAGAGUUUAGGAGGGGGAGCUGGAAUUCCUGGUGUAGGGGUGAAAUCUGUAGAGAUCAGGAAGAACACCGGAGGCGAAGGCGAGCUCCUGGCCAUAGACUGACGCUGAGGCGCGAAAGCGUGGGGAGCGAACAGGAUUAGAUACCCAAGUAGUCC